RNAcentral lists this ribosomal RNA (465 nucleotides) under uncultured bacterium. RNAcentral's name for it is "partial 16S ribosomal RNA". It matches the Rfam family "Bacterial small subunit ribosomal RNA", at positions 28 to 507 of the family's 1533-position model. The record is from RNAcentral.
GACGAACGCUGGCGGCGUGCUUAACACAUGCAAGUCGAGCGAGGCCCCUCCUUCGGGAGGGUGUCCUAGCGGCGAACGGGUGAGUAACACGUGGGCAACCUGCCCUCAGCUCUGGGAUAACUCCGGGAAACCGGGGCUAAUACCGGAUACGACCUCCACGGGCAUCUGCGGAGGUGGAAAGUUUUUCGGCUGAGGAUGGGCCCGCGGCCUAUCAGCUAGUUGGUGGGGUAGUGGCCCACCAAGGCGACGACGGGUAGCCGGCCUGAGAGGGCGACCGGCCACACUGGGACUGAGACACGGCCCAGACUCCUACGGGAGGCAGCAGUGGGGAAUAUUGCGCAAUGGGCGAAAGCCUGACGCAGCGACGCCGCGUGAGGGACGAAGGCCUUCGGGUUGUAAACCUCUUUCAGCAGGAACGAAGCGAAAGUGACGGUACCUGCAGAAGAAGCACCGGCCAACUACGUG